This 976-nucleotide ribosomal RNA is filed under the name human gut metagenome. RNAcentral describes it as "bacterial LSU rRNA". It matches the Rfam family "Bacterial large subunit ribosomal RNA", at positions 1950 to 2925 of the family's 2925-position model. The record is from RNAcentral.
CCUAAGGUAGCGAAAUUCCUUGUCGGGUAAGUUCCGACCUGCACGAAUGGCGUAACGAUCUCCACACUGUCUCGGCCAGAGACUCGGUGAAAUUGAAGUCGCGGUGAAAAUGCCGUGUACCCGCAGAAAGACGGAAAGACCCUGUGCACCUUUACUAUAGCUUGACAUUGGGAUUUGAGCCUGCAUGUGUAGCAUAGGUGGGAGGCUGUGAACUCUGUACGCCAGUAUGGAGGGAGCCAUCGUUGAAAUACCACCCUUGUUUGUUCAGGUCCCUAACUCUUCGCCGUGAUCCGGUAAGAGGACAGUGUCUGGUGGGUAGUUUGACUGGGGCGGUCGCCUCCCAAAAUGUAACGGAGGCAUGCAAAGGUUCCCUCAGGCUGAUUGGAAACCAGCCGUCGAGUGCAAACGCAAAAGGGAGCUUGACUGCAAGAGAGACAUCUCGAGCAGGUACGAAAGUAGGUGUUAGUGAUCCGGUGAUCCCGAAUGGAAGGGUCAUCGCUCAUUGGAUAAAAGGUACGCCGGGGAUAACAGGCUGAUCGCAUCCAAGAGUUCACAUCGACGAUGCGGUUUGGCACCUCGAUGUCGGCUCAUCACAUCCUGGGGCUGAAGCAGGUCCCAAGGGUACGGCUGUUCGCCGUUUAAAGUGGUACGCGAGCUGGGUUUAAAACGUCGUGAGACAGUUUGGUCCCUAUCUUCUGUGGGCGUAGGAGAAUUGAAAGGGCCUGUCCCUAGUACGAGAGGACCGGGAUGGACACACCACUGGUGGACCUGUUGUCGUGCCAACGGCACAGCAGGGUAGCUAUGUGUGGAAGGGAUAACCGCUGAAAGCAUCUAAGCGGGAAGCCUGCCUUAAGAUAAGUUCUCCCUGACGCAAGUCCUGAAGGGCCGAGGUAGACGACCUCGUUGAUAGGCUGGAGGUGGAAGCCCUGUGAGGGGUGGAGCUGACCAGUACUAAUAGCCCGUGCGUCUUGUUUCU